This 421-nucleotide ribosomal RNA is filed under the name uncultured cyanobacterium. Its description in RNAcentral is "bacterial SSU rRNA". It matches the Rfam family "Bacterial small subunit ribosomal RNA", at positions 388 to 824 of the family's 1533-position model. Lineage: Bacteria; Bacillati; Cyanobacteriota. The record is from RNAcentral.
GGAGCAAGACCGCGUGCGGGAGGAAGGUCUAUUGAUUGUAAACCGCUUUUGAUAGGGAAGAAGAUCUGACGGUACCUAUCGAAUCAGCAUCGGCUAACUCCGUGCCAGCAGCCGCGGUAAUACGGGGGAUGCAAGCGUUAUCCGGAAUUAUUGGGCGUAAAGCGUCCGUAGGUGGUUUUAUAAGUCUGUUGUCAAAUCGCGAGGCUUAACCUCGUACAGGCAGUGGAAACUAUAAGACUAGAGUGCGGUAGGGGUAGAGGGAAUUUCCAGUGUAGCGGUGAAAUGCGUAGAUAUUGGAAAGAACACCGGUGGCGAAGGCGCUCUACUGGGCCUGCACUGACACUGAGGGACGAAAGCUAGGGGAGCGAAAGGGAUUAGAUACCCCUGUAGUCCUAGCCGUAAACGAUGGAAACUAGGUGUU